This is a long non-coding RNA of Amphiprion ocellaris (clown anemonefish), 530 nucleotides long. The record is from Ensembl. NCBI's taxonomy places the organism in Eukaryota, Metazoa, Chordata, Actinopteri, Pomacentridae.
CCCAGUCGUCCUCGGGUUGUUUAUCGGGAAAGUAGUCGCUAAACCGCUCGAAAAGUUUAUUCAGAUGCGUGCUUUUGGACUCCUUUGUCUUCGAUAAAAAGGCUCGCGACCCACCAAAAACGGCCCCGCGACCCACUUUUGGGUCGCGACCCACCAGUUGAGAAACACUGCUCUAAGCAGUAAGAGGCUCCACCUGGAGGUACAACCAGCUUGGUGGCCACAAUGACAUCAGUUAUGUUUGCAGCGUCAUCGCCUACAAUCCAGUUUCAAAACAAUGGCACAUGUCGGCUCCCAUGUUUAGCCCUCGCAUCAACUUUGGCGUCGCCGUAUUGGAGGAUCACCUCUCCGUGGUCGGAGGCUUCGAAAGUGACAACAAAGCCUGUAACGUGCAGCGAUAUGACGGAAAGACCAACAGGUGGGAGACCGUCCAGGACAUGCAGAUCCCCAACAGCCACGUGAACUGCCGUGUGGUGGAGCGAUACCCCAACAAUACUGCUUAAAAUGAAGUUCCAAUCAACUGGCAAAUAAAG